Molecule: ribosomal RNA, 253 nt
Filed under: uncultured Thermodesulfovibrio sp.
Lineage: Bacteria; Pseudomonadati; Nitrospirota; Thermodesulfovibrionia; Thermodesulfovibrionales; Thermodesulfovibrionaceae
Description: partial 16S ribosomal RNA
Rfam family: Bacterial small subunit ribosomal RNA
Source: RNAcentral
GACAGAGGUGGCAAGCGUUGUUCGGAAUCACUGGGCUUAAAGGGCGCGUAGGUGGUAGUGCAAGUCUGAGGUGGAAUCCCAUGGCUUAACCAUGGAAUUGCCCUGGAAACUGCAUUACUUGAGUCAGUGAGGGGAGGGUAGAAUUCCUGGUGUAGCGGUGAAAUGCGUAGAUAUCAGGAGGAAGGCCGGUGGCGAAGGCGGCCCUCUGGCGCUGAACUGACACUGAGGCGCGAAAGCGUGGGGAGCAAACAGG